RNAcentral lists this non-coding RNA (167 nucleotides) under Stenotrophomonas koreensis. Its description in RNAcentral is "Proteobacterial sRNA sX4". It matches the Rfam family "Proteobacterial sRNA sX4", at positions 1 to 126 of the family's 167-position model. Lineage: Bacteria; Pseudomonadati; Pseudomonadota; Gammaproteobacteria; Lysobacterales; Lysobacteraceae. The record is from Rfam by way of RNAcentral.
GCUGGGGACCACCCGGAGAGGUGGCAGAGUGGUUGAAUGUACCUGACUCGAAAUCAGGCAUGCGUUUAUAGCGCAUCGGGGGUUCGAAUCCCCCCCUCUCCGCCAGAUACUUGAACUAAGCCCUUGAUAUUCAAGGGCUUUUUUCAUUUAUGGCCUGGCUGGUAUGC